UUAUUUGAGAGUUUGAUCCUGGCUCAGGAUGAACGCUGGCGGCGUGCCUAACACAUGCAAGUUGAGCGAUUUACUUCGGUAAAGAGCGGCGGACGGGUGAGUAACGCGUGGGUAACCUACCCUGUACACACGGAUAACAUACCGAAAGGUAUGCUAAUACGGGAUAACAUAUUUGAGAGGCAUCUCUUGAAUAUCAAAGGUGAGCCAGUACAGGAUGGACCCGCGUCUGAUUAGCUAGUUGGUAAGGUAACGGC
RNAcentral lists this ribosomal RNA (254 nucleotides) under Clostridioides difficile. RNAcentral describes it as "partial 16S ribosomal RNA". It matches the Rfam family "Bacterial small subunit ribosomal RNA", at positions 1 to 264 of the family's 1533-position model. The record is from RNAcentral. Lineage: Bacteria; Bacillati; Bacillota; Clostridia; Peptostreptococcales; Peptostreptococcaceae.